Arachis duranensis is the source of this 543-nucleotide long non-coding RNA. RefSeq lists it as uncharacterized. The transcript is spliced from 3 exons. The record is from RefSeq and is a predicted model, not a curated record. Lineage: Eukaryota; Viridiplantae; Streptophyta; Magnoliopsida; Fabales; Fabaceae.
ACCCUUACAAAAAUUAGCCACUGCGUUUUUUAGCAGUUGAGCCUCUGCCCCAGACCUCCCUCUCUGCCCUCUGAGUCCAAUCAAACACACAGACUCUUGCCCUGUCUCACUCCAGCGGCGCCGCCGUGCCGCUCUCUUUCUCUCUCUCUUUCUUUGCACAGGAAGCCCGCAGCGGCACAAAGAAUCAGCGGCGAGGACUCUUCUCUGAUGGGGUAGUUUCCCAUUGCAUCCUCGAUCAAAAGCUGCGGUUGGCAUGGCUGUGUGAGGUGCUCGUCGAUCUCCUCGCACCGGCGUCCCUGGCACUCUCUCCCUCACAGUUGCAAGGUCUCUCUCCCUCUCGAAGGCGCUCUGUCUCUCCCUCUCUCAGCUCUGCGGCGGACGGCGGUGACGUGAUCCUCUGCCGGCGACUACCUCCUCUGCCCUGCAUUUCAGAGGUUUGCGGUAAGGACAUCAAAGCAAAUUGAAAAUAUUUCGAAACAAGCUGUUCAGAAAAGGCAGGAGUUAACGGGGCAGAUCAAGGACAUCUCGAAAAAUAUGGAAGAU